UUUGACAGCCGCUUCCCCAACCAGAACCAGACCAGGAACUGCUGGCAGAACUACGUGGACUUCCACCGCUGCCAGAAGGCAAUGACCGCAAAAGGGGGCGAUAUCUCUGUAUGUGAGUGGUACCGGCGUGUGUACAAGUCCCUCUGCCCCAUUUCCUGGGUCUCAACUUGGGAUGACCGCCGGGCAGAAGGCACAUUUCCCGGGAAGAUCUGAACUGGUUCCACCCUGCCUCUCCUGUCUUCCGUCCUUCUCCCAUGGUGGUAAAGGGGGACCUGGGUGCUUGGUUCUUCCUACCCUGGGACCCUGAAUCAUGAC
This 315-nucleotide long non-coding RNA is filed under the name Marmota monax (woodchuck). The record is from RNAcentral. Lineage: Eukaryota; Metazoa; Chordata; Mammalia; Rodentia; Sciuridae.